RNAcentral lists this unclassified non-coding RNA (357 nucleotides) under Hevea brasiliensis (rubber tree). The record is from RNAcentral. Lineage: Eukaryota; Viridiplantae; Streptophyta; Magnoliopsida; Malpighiales; Euphorbiaceae.
AGCAGUCUUGAAAAAAUUAUCCCCAUAAACAGCGAAUAUAUGAGUGCCGGCUUUUAGUUCUGAAACCUCACAAGGUUGAAGACCUUCCAAUCUUUUAAAAAAAGCAGCAUCAGGAUCCUUGGCUAUUGCUAAAGCAUUCACAGUUGAAUCCAUUCUAUACACUUGAAAAUGUAAGAAAUACAUCCCUGCAGAUGUCACCUUGCCAGUCUUCUCACUAUCUUCCUGUAAUGCCAAACCAUAGCCACCAUUGGCAUCUUGUUCAAAAUAAAGUAACUUAAAUUUGCUUUGUGCGGUUGAAGUUACUCUCACAACAAUCCCUGACUCUGCUUGUUGUUCAUUUAUUGUUACACCAAAGAA